GAGAGAGGGGUAACCGUGGAGUCCAUCUUGCGGCGGGGACUCCUCCGGGGCUUGUGCGUCUUGCCGACCACCGGCGGCCUGUUCGCCGGUGAGUUCCUGCAGCGGCCCGAAGAGGCACGUGCUCGCAGGGUGAGGGGGGAGGCGCCGGAUCUAGCGGGACAACGUGUGGUACCUUGUAUGGGAUGAAGUGAAGGCUAUUUUAUUAAUCAAUCAUCGUAUUAUGUGCACAAUAAGCUUUUGCUAUGCUUUCACCGUCGAUGCCCACUGGUUGGAUCAUGCUUCUGUUUAUGAGCUCAUUGAAGUAACUCUCUCCUAGCUCAAAUUGGGCCAAUUUCUCGUUUGCAUUACAUAUAAAACCUUCAGCUAUCCAUCUCCAUAUCAGCCUGUCUCUCUUAAUUUUGAAACAUUUUGG
Molecule: ribosomal RNA, 412 nt
Filed under: Triticum aestivum (bread wheat)
Lineage: Eukaryota; Viridiplantae; Streptophyta; Magnoliopsida; Poales; Poaceae
Description: partial small subunit ribosomal RNA
Source: RNAcentral